RNAcentral lists this transfer RNA (75 nucleotides) under Candidatus Nealsoniibacteriota bacterium. Its description in RNAcentral is "Candidatus Nealsonbacteria bacterium tRNA-Arg". It matches the Rfam family "tRNA". From Rfam's summary of the family: Transfer RNA (tRNA) molecules are approximately 80 nucleotides in length. Their secondary structure includes four short double-helical elements and three loops (D, anti-codon, and T loops). Further hydrogen bonds mediate the characteristic L-shaped molecular structure. tRNAs have two regions of fundamental functional importance: the anti-codon, which is responsible for specific mRNA codon recognition, and the 3' end, to which the tRNAs corresponding amino acid is attached (by aminoacyl-tRNA synthetases). tRNAs cope with the degeneracy of the genetic code in two manners: having more than one tRNA (with a specific anti-codon) for a particular amino acid; and 'wobble' base-pairing, i.e. permitting non-standard base-pairing at the 3rd anti-codon position. Lineage: Bacteria; Candidatus Nealsoniibacteriota. The record is from RNAcentral.
GCCCCCAUAGUUCAAUGGAUAGAACGUGGCCCUCCGGAGGCCAAGAUGGAAGUUCGAAUCUUCCUGGGGGCACAA